Molecule: unclassified non-coding RNA, 200 nt
Filed under: soil metagenome
Description: partial contains internal transcribed spacer 2 and large subunit ribosomal RNA
Source: RNAcentral
UUUGAGUGGUUGGAUGUGGGAGUUUGCUGGCCUCUUAAAAAAGGUCUUGGCUCUCCUGAAAUACAUUAGCAGAACAACCCUGUUCAUUGGUGUGAUAACUAUCUACGCUAUUGUGAAGGGAAGUUCAGCUUUCUAACUGUCUUUGGACAAUUCAUCAUUAAUGUGACCUCAAAUCAGGUAGGACUACCCGCUGAACUUAA